CCUGAGAAACCCAAAAGUUCGAAUCGGGAGAUUCAUCGUCAGCGAUCUCGGCGGUGCGCGGUUCGCGAUGCCCGGGGCUUCGGUCCCGCGGCACGCGUCCGUGGAAUUUGUUGCCGGGUAUCGUCGUCGUGCACUUCUCCCGUAGUAGGACGUCGCGACCCGUUGGGUGUCGGUCUACGACCCGGGUGGGCGCCCGUCGCGCGUUACGCUUCACGGCGUCGCGCGGCAGACCCCCGGUUGUCCGACCAGCUGCCCGGCGGUACUCGCACGGUAUUGAGUCGCAAAUUUGAACUGCGUCCGGCCCGCCGCAAGCGAGGCCAGUGUUUCCCGGAUGUACGGACCUUGCGCCGUCACCGGGCCUGGCCGGCUGUUGGCAGGCGGUGUCCUGGGACUGGCUCUAAAUACCGGUCGGCGACGCUACUGCUUUGGGUACUUUCAGGACCCGUCUUGAAACACGGACCAAGGAGUCUAACAUGUGCGCGAGUCAUUGGGAUCUGUUAAGCCUAAAGGCGCAAUGAAAGUGAAGGUAGGCCUCGCGCCAACCGAGGGAGGAUGGGCCGCGUCACGAUGCGGUCCCGCACUCCCGGGGCGUCUCGUUCUCAUUACGAGAA
RNAcentral lists this ribosomal RNA (611 nucleotides) under Prochas sp. AZR30. RNAcentral's name for it is "eukaryotic LSU rRNA". Lineage: Eukaryota; Metazoa; Arthropoda; Insecta; Hymenoptera; Ichneumonidae. The record is from RNAcentral.